RNAcentral lists this small RNA (147 nucleotides) under Marmota monax (woodchuck). The record is from RNAcentral. Lineage: Eukaryota; Metazoa; Chordata; Mammalia; Rodentia; Sciuridae.
UGAAUUGGAUAAAAUUUCGAGAACAGUGUUGAAUAUUGACAGCAUGGUAAUUAUAAGGGACAUUCUUUUUUGUUGUUUACCAUAUCAGAAUUAUCACUAGAAUUUUUCCAUUAAUGUGUGUGUGUGUGUGUGUGUGUGUGUGUUCAC